GCGGAUGGCUGGAUGAUCGCGGCACCGGACUUGAUCUGGGGUCGAGGAAAGUCCGGACUCCACAAAGCAACGGUGCCGGGUAACGCCCGGCGGGGGCAACCCCAGGGAAAGCGCCACAGAGAACAGACGGCCUUGCGUGCAAGGUCACGGUGAAACGGUGGGGUAAGAGCCCACCGCGCGAGCGGCAACGUAAGCGGCACGGCAAGCCCCACCAGGAGCAAUGCCAAAUAGGGACCUCGCGUGGGCAACCACGGGGUGGCUUUAACCCCAGAUGGUCCGGGUUGGCAGCUAGAGGGUGACUGGCAACAGGCACUUUAGAUGAAUGAUCAUCCAUAGGGGGAACCCUAGGACAGAAUCCGGCUUAUAGGCCAUCCGUGCGC
Molecule: RNase P RNA, 380 nt
Filed under: Cognatiyoonia sediminum
Lineage: Bacteria; Pseudomonadati; Pseudomonadota; Alphaproteobacteria; Rhodobacterales; Paracoccaceae
Description: Loktanella sediminum Bacterial RNase P class A
Rfam family: Bacterial RNase P class A
About the family: Ribonuclease P (RNase P) is a ubiquitous endoribonuclease, found in archaea, bacteria and eukarya as well as chloroplasts and mitochondria.
Source: Rfam by way of RNAcentral